RNAcentral lists this ribosomal RNA (340 nucleotides) under uncultured eukaryote. Its description in RNAcentral is "bacterial SSU rRNA". It matches the Rfam family "Eukaryotic small subunit ribosomal RNA", at positions 1471 to 1801 of the family's 1831-position model. The record is from RNAcentral.
CCUUAGAUGUCCGGGGCCGCACGCGCGCUACACUGAAGUGAUCAGCGUGCAUUUAUAUUUUGCUGCUCCGUCAGGAGUGGCUAACCCGUUGAACCUUCUUCGUGAUUGGGAUAGGAGAUUGUAAUUAUUCUCCUUGAACGAGGAAUUCCCAGUAAGCGCAAGUCAUAAGCUUGCGUUGAUUACGUCCCUGCCCUUUGUACACACCGCCCGUCGCUACUACCGAUUGAAUGAAUUAGUGAGGUCUUCGGACUGGCCUGUGAGGUUGUUUCGGCAACCGCGCAUGGCUCGGGAAGAUGCCCAAACUUGUUCAUUUAGAGGAAGUAAAAGUCGUAACAAGGUU